Molecule: long non-coding RNA, 612 nt
Organism: Mesocricetus auratus (golden hamster)
Lineage: Eukaryota; Metazoa; Chordata; Mammalia; Rodentia; Cricetidae
Exons: 3
Source: RefSeq, a predicted model, not a curated record
AUGUAGUGACCGGGGUUCGGUGGGUGAAGUGCUUGGGCAGGAGGACCUGAGUUAGGGUCUCCAGCUCCCGAGUGAGAGCCGAGCGUGGGUGGGGCACACGACUGCAAGCCCGGCGCCGGGGAGGCAGAGACCGGGAUCUUUGGAGUUACUUGGCCAGUCAGUCUGGCUGCCGUGGUCUCCCUAUGUAUCCUCUUGCUGGCCUGGAACUCACGGAGGGAGACAUGCCUGCCUUUGCUUCUGAGUGCCGGGAUGAGAGUGUGCUUCCUAUACCCAGCUAGCUUCAGCUCCACACGAGGAGGACUUGAAACGGGGCCUGGAAUGAUGGACUGUUCCAUCCCAUCAAAGCCGGUCUCCUGGUGGUUCAGCCUGGAGGGGAUUUAUACGAGCCAGUAGCAACAGGGCCGAGCUGUGAGAAUGGAAAUGUAGGGAGACUGACGCCUAUCAAUCAUCUGACUGUGUUCUCGCCUGCUUUGAUGUCCUGGACCUGGCUGUGGGAGCAGAGGGCGCCUGCCGGCCCCUCAGAAUGGAAAUGUAAAGGAAUGGGUAUUUUUAGGAAAGUCACUUUCUGUAACACAUCCGGAGUUCUUCUAAAGGUGUUUUUAGCUCUGCAAA